Molecule: ribosomal RNA, 467 nt
Filed under: Bacteroidetes bacterium oral taxon F60
Lineage: Bacteria; Pseudomonadati; Bacteroidota
Description: bacterial SSU rRNA
Rfam family: Bacterial small subunit ribosomal RNA
Source: RNAcentral
GAUGAACGCUAGCGACAGGCCUAACACAUGCAAGUCGAGGGGCAGCACAAGGGUAGCAAUACCCUGGUGGCGACCGGCGCACGGGUGAGUAACGCGUAUGCAACCUGCCUACCACAGGGGGAUAGCCUCCCGAAAGGGAGAUUAAUACCGCAUAAAACAGGGGCCCCGCAUGGGGAUAUUUGUUAAAGCAAUCGCGGUGGUAGAUGGGCAUGCGUUCCAUUAGCUUGUUGGCGGGGUAACGGCCCACCAAGGCGUCGAUGGAUAGGGGAACUGAGAGGUUUAUCCCCCACACUGGGACUGAGACACGGCCCAGACUCCUACGGGAGGCAGCAGUGAGGAAUAUUGGUCAAUGGGCGCAAGCCUGAACCAGCCAAGUCGCGUGGAGGACGACGAUUCUAUGGAUUGUAAACUCCUUUUGCAGGGGAGUAAACUGCGCCACGUGUGGCGCAUGCAAGUACCCUGCGAUA